This 69-nucleotide transfer RNA is filed under the name Conus tulipa (tulip cone). RNAcentral's name for it is "tRNA-His". It matches the Rfam family "tRNA". Rfam says of the family: Transfer RNA (tRNA) molecules are approximately 80 nucleotides in length. The record is from RNAcentral. Lineage: Eukaryota; Metazoa; Mollusca; Gastropoda; Neogastropoda; Conidae.
GUUAAGUUAGUUUAAUAUAAAAACGUCAGCCUGUGGAUUUGAAGAAAGGAGUAGUAUUCCUACUUAACC